UCUGGUUGAUCCUGCCAGUAGUUAUAUGCUUGUCUCAAAGAUUAAGCCAUGAAACCGCAAAAGGCUCAUUAUAUCAGCUAUGGUUCCUUAGAUCGUUAACAGUUACUUGGGUAACUGUGGUAAUUCUAGAGCUAAUACAUGCAAUUAAAACAUGAACCUUAUGGGACAUGUGCUUUUAUUAGGCUAAAACCAAGCGAUCGCAAGAUCGUUAUAUUGGUUGAACUCUAGAUAACAUGCAGAUCGUAUGGUCUUGUACCGACGACAGAUCUUUCAAAUGUCUGCCCUAUCUACUUUUGAUAGUAGUAUCUAGGACUACCAUGGUUGCAACGGGUAACGGAGAAUCAGGGUUCGUUUCCGGAGAGGGAGCCUGAGAAACGGCUACCACAUCCAAGGAAGGCAGCAGGCGCGUAAAUUACCCACUCCCAGCUCGGGGAGGUAGUGACAAAAAAUAACAAAACAGGACUCAUAUCCGAGGCCCUGUAAUUGGAAUGAGUACAUUUUAAAUCCUUUAACAAGGACCAAUUGGAGGGCAAGUCUGGUGCCAGCAGCCGCGGUAAUUCCAGCUCCAAUAGCGUAUAUUAAAGUUUUUGCGGUUAAAACGUUCGUAGUUGAACUUGUGCUUCAUACGGGUAGUACAACUUACAAUUGUGGUUAGUACCUUUAUGUAUGUAAGCGUAUUACCGGUGGAGUUCUUUUAUGUGAUUAAAUACAUGUAUUUUUUCAUAUGUUCCUCCUAUUUAAAAACCUGCAUUAGUGAUCUUAAACGAGUAUUAUUGUGGGCCGGUACUAUUACUUUGAACAAAUUAGAGUGAAAUAAGACCUCUGUUCUGCUUUCAUUGGUUUUCAGAUCAAGAGGUAAUGAUUAAUAGAAGCAGUUUGGGGGCAUUAGUAUUACGACGCGAGAGGUGAAAUUCUUGGACCGUCGUAAGACUAACUUAAGCGAAAGCAUUUUAGUUAGUUAGAGGUUCGAAGGCGAUUAGAUACCGCGAAAGCAUUUGCCCAAGAUGUUUUCAUUAAUCAAGAACGAAAGUUAGAGGUUCGAAGGCGAUUAGAUACCGCCCUAGUUCUAACCAUAAACGAUGCCAGCUAGAAAUUGGGUGUAGCUACUAUCAUGGCUCUCUCAGUCGCUCAGUCUCAGGCCUACAACAGAGCCUGUAAGCAGCUCAAACAGAUGCUUCAUGACACAAGAAGCAAGGCGCUCGAGCAGUACCUAGUAGAACUGGAGCCUGGCAAUGCUGAGCACAACAUCUGGAACUCCACCAAAUACCUGAAAAGGCCUGUGCGGAGGGUGCCACAAUUAAAACAGCUGCAGGUGUAUGGUGCCGGUCAAGCCAAGAGAAAGCGAAUGCGUUUGCCGACCAUCUGGAAACCAGUUUCCAGCCAUUCACCCUAUGUGAUGACGAAGACGUUGAAGAGACGAAGCAGUUCGAUGACGCAGCCUGCCCGAUGGCCCUGCCUAUCGCAGAGAUAGGUAGUCAGGAGAUUCUGGAUGAGAUCUCGUGCUUGAAGCUCACCAAAUCUCCUGGCCUUGACAAAAUCGACGCAGCUGCCCUCAAGCUACUCCCAGCGAAUUGCAUAGAGUUCCUGA
RNAcentral lists this ribosomal RNA (1588 nucleotides) under Drosophila erecta. RNAcentral's name for it is "SSU rRNA". The stretch from base 2 to 1167 matches the Rfam family "Eukaryotic small subunit ribosomal RNA", at positions 4 to 1116 of the family's 1831-position model. Lineage: Eukaryota; Metazoa; Arthropoda; Insecta; Diptera; Drosophilidae. The record is from RNAcentral.